This 29-nucleotide non-coding RNA is filed under the name Homo sapiens (human). The record is from RNAcentral. Lineage: Eukaryota; Metazoa; Chordata; Mammalia; Primates; Hominidae.
UCUCGUUUAGUCUGAGCCUGGAGAUGUUC